This 30-nucleotide non-coding RNA is filed under the name Mus musculus (house mouse). Lineage: Eukaryota; Metazoa; Chordata; Mammalia; Rodentia; Muridae. The record is from RNAcentral.
UACUGUUCUGCCAUGGGUGUACUGGAAUGU